This 445-nucleotide ribosomal RNA is filed under the name uncultured bacterium. RNAcentral's name for it is "partial 16S ribosomal RNA". It matches the Rfam family "Bacterial small subunit ribosomal RNA", at positions 354 to 796 of the family's 1533-position model. The record is from RNAcentral.
GUGGGGAAUUUUGGACAAUGGGCGCAAGCCUGAUCCAGCAAUGCCGCGUGCAGGAUGACGGCCCUCUGGGUUGUAAACUGCUUUUAUACGGGAAGAAAAAAUACUACGUGUAGUAUACUGACGGUACCGUAAGAAUAAGGAUCGGCUAACUCCGUGCCAGCAGCCGCGGUAAUACGGAGGAUCCAAGCGUUGUCCGGAUUUAUUGGGUUUAAAGGGUGCGUAGGCGGAUCUUUAAGUCAGUGGUGAAAGCCUGCAGCUUAACUGUAGAAUUGCCAUUGAAACUGAAGAUCUUGAAUGUGGUUAAAGUAGGCGGAAUGUAUCAUGUAGCGGUGAAAUGCUUAGAUAUGAUACAGAACACCGAUAGCGAAGGCAGCUUGCUGAACCAUUAUUGACGCUGAGGCACGAAAGCGUGGGGAGCGAACAGGAUUAGAAACCCCAGUAGUCC